This 460-nucleotide ribosomal RNA is filed under the name uncultured bacterium. RNAcentral's name for it is "partial 16S ribosomal RNA". It matches the Rfam family "Bacterial small subunit ribosomal RNA", at positions 338 to 795 of the family's 1533-position model. The record is from RNAcentral.
CCUACGGGGAGCAGCAGUGAGGAAUAUUGGUCAAUGGACGAGAGUCUGAACCAGCCAAGUAGCGUGAAGGAUGACUGCCCUAUGGGUUGUAACCUUCUUUUAUAAAGGAAUAAAACGAGGCACGUGUGCCUUUUUGCAUGUACUUUAUGAAUAAGGAUCGGCUAACUCCGUGCCAGCAGCCGCGGUAAUACGGAGGAUCCGAGCGUUAUCCGGAUUUAUUGGGUUUAAAGGGAGCGUAGAUGGGUUGUUAAGUCAGGUGUGAAAGUUUGCGGCUCAACCGUAAAAUUGCAAUUGAUACUGGCAGUCUUGAGUACAGUUGAGGUAGGCGGAAUUCGUGGUGUAGCGGUGAAAUGCUUAGAUAUCACGAAGAACCCCGAUUGCGAAGGCAGCUUACUAAACUGUGACUGACAUUGAUGCUCGAAAGUGUGGGUAUCAAACAGGAUUAGAUACCCUAGUAGUC